GUGGGGAAUAUUGGGCAAUGGGCGCAAGCCUGACCCAGCAACGCCGCGUGAGGGAAGAAGGCCUUCGGGUUGUAAACCUCUGUCCUUGGUGACGAAAAAAAUGACGGUAGCCAAGGAGGAAGCCCCGGCUAACUACGUGCCAGCAGCCGCGGUAAUACGUAGGGGGCGAGCGUUGUCCGGAAUUACUGGGCGUAAAGGGUGCGUAGGUGGCCUUUUAAGUUGGAUGUGAAAUACCCGGGCUUAACUUGGGGGGUGCAUCUAAUACUGGAGGGCUAGAGUGCAGGAGAGGGAAGCGGAAUUCCUAGUGUAGCGGUGAAAUGCGUAGAUAUUAGGAGGAACACCAGUGGCGAAGGCGGCUUUCUGGACUGUAACUGACACUGAGGCACGAAAGCGUGGGGAGCAAACAGGAUUAGAUACCCCUGUAGUCC
RNAcentral lists this ribosomal RNA (428 nucleotides) under uncultured bacterium. RNAcentral describes it as "partial 16S ribosomal RNA". It matches the Rfam family "Bacterial small subunit ribosomal RNA", at positions 354 to 796 of the family's 1533-position model. The record is from RNAcentral.